RNAcentral lists this transfer RNA (71 nucleotides) under Candidatus Adlerbacteria bacterium RIFCSPLOWO2_01_FULL_51_16. Its description in RNAcentral is "tRNA-Gln". It matches the Rfam family "tRNA". From Rfam's summary of the family: Transfer RNA (tRNA) molecules are approximately 80 nucleotides in length. Lineage: Bacteria; Candidatus Adleribacteriota. RNAcentral also lists the same sequence under 3 other names. The record is from RNAcentral.
UGCCCGAUCGUCUAAUGGUAGGACAGUGGCCUUUGAAGCCAUUAAUUGGGGUUCGAAUCCCUGUCGGGCAG